Molecule: long non-coding RNA, 1789 nt
Filed under: Capsicum annuum
Lineage: Eukaryota; Viridiplantae; Streptophyta; Magnoliopsida; Solanales; Solanaceae
Description: long non-coding RNA (CANN_LNC011825)
Source: RNAcentral
AAAUACUUCACAAAAUUAAAAUAAUAGAAGAAUACUCAAACUCUAAAGAAGUGACUAUGGAGCGACUCUAAGAGUUUCAAGAAAAAGAACAUAACAAUUAAAUAAACUGUUGCCCACGCGAACAAAUGCAGGGCUCGCCAUGAAUAUCCAACUCGAAUACUCUACCUACCAAAAUCCUUACUAACGUCACCUGCGUUCUUUGUAAAAAAAUAGUGAGGAGUGAGACAUUAGCUCAAUGAGUAAUAACACUUAACUACAACCGUUUUAAUAGGAUAAGUCAUAAAACAUCAUGAAAUAAAUGCACUUUAAGAAAUAAAAUAACAAUAAGUAGUAUCAUUUGUUUCAUGUAAGCAAAAUGAUCCAAUAGUUAAGGGAUAAACUCAAUAAGCAUUAUAUCAUAUCAAAUAUUACAUAUUUGGGAGGUUUCCAUGAAUGAAUCACGUAAUCAAUGUGGUAUUCCACUUCAAAAAUAGCCAAUAACAGUGAACCCCUCAUAAAAGAGUCAAAAAUCAUAUCAGUAAGUCCCUACUCGAGGGACAUCAGUAAUAGUAUGCUAGUUCUACCUUCCCACUAGCGAGGGCUGUAACAGUAAUCAGUAACUACAAGGUGCACCAAGUCUAACGAUCCCGCCAUUAGCUAAGGGAUUCAAAUCAAGGUCUACUCUCACUUAUAUUUUCUUUCUAAACAAUAGAUAUUCAUAUGAAAGUAUUUUUCAGAAUAGUCCAUAGCAUUUAAAGUUCAUAUCAAAUCACAUUACUUGUAAACUUGAAUAAAAUACAUGUAAAAAUACUUAUUUCUCAUGUGAGUGAAAAACUUUCAUAACAUCAGUGAUCAUAUCUCAAGUAACGGUAAAUAUGUUUUAUGAACAUCUCAAAUACCCAAUUUCAGUAUCAUAUCGAGAAAAAGACUUGUCCCACAUGCAAUUUCAAAACAUUCAGUAAUUCUUGUUUCAUCAAAAUCAUGUAUAAAAUGGCAAGUUAAGAAACACAAAUCUUGAGAAGGUUACUACUCACAGUACUUCUUGUUAGAAUACCAAACUCAUCACCUCGAGAAAUUAGGAUGAGUUUCUUCGACCAAUCUAUAAUCACAUCAUAUCAACUCCGUAUCAAUUCUCUUAUUUAAGCAAAACUCGUAACUAAUUCAGCACACCCAACGCCCGACUUAGUUUGAGUCUCAAUUAGUCAAAUUAUAUUUAUUCAUGCUAGUAGUAACUCAAUUAGUCCACAAUUUCUCAAUUUCAGCUUAUUCAUCCAAUUCUUUACCCAAAAAUCUAAUUUUCCUGGCCUAACAUAGAGCAAAAUAACUUUACUGUUAAUCAUACUUUUCUAUGGAAUUCAAUUUCUAAUAACCAAUAGAAAUCUCAAGUCUCCAAUAACAAAACAUACAAAUUAGAAGAAAACUCAACAUUUAAAGUUCCGGAAAUACCCGAAAUAGUUGUAGCAGCUUAUGAUUUCUUGAUAUUGUAAAUAUGGUUCCACGAAAGCUCAACUACUGCUCCAUACUAGCAUACCCAUGAAUAAUCAUAGAUUAAAAAUACCAGAACUAUUGGGAGAAGUAAUACUAAGUUCACCAAAGUUUUUCUGUUUCCCCAACUUGGCAGAACUCUUGCAAACGUAUUGUUAUAAAUUUCUUGUUCUCAUUGAGUCUCUUAUCCGGUUUUUUUUCCUCAACACAGAUUUUACCUUGCCCUUGACUAUUGGUCUUUAAAAUCCUUAUUUUAUUAAGUUUAUUCAAAAUGACCCCUUUGUCCUUAUUUAAAUAUGGGGUAGUACAAGAUGCACGCCCCAGG